Molecule: long non-coding RNA, 310 nt
Filed under: Mytilus galloprovincialis (Mediterranean mussel)
Lineage: Eukaryota; Metazoa; Mollusca; Bivalvia; Mytilida; Mytilidae
Source: RNAcentral
GUUAGUACACAGUUCUCAUCACUCUCCGAGUGUUGGGUGCUCAUAGUGGCAGGUUUUUUUGUUCCUACUAAUGCCUACAGUUCUAAACACUAACAUCAAGAGACUAAGGAACACCCAAACUCAUAAGUAGAAAACAAAUUGACAACAUCAUAAAAAAAAAGAAAAAGACAAAUACAAAUAAAAAAACAGAACAUAGAAGUUAAAUAAUGUGCAAACCAAAAAAAAAACAGAACAUAGAAAUUAAAUAAUGUGCAAACCAAAAAAAACAGAACAUAGAAAUUAAAUAAUGUGCAAACCAAAAAAACAGAAC